CAAGUCGAACGAGAAAGUGGAGCAAUCCAUGAGUAAAGUGGCGCACGGGUGAGUAACACGUGACUAACCUACCCUUGAGUGGGGAAUAACCUAGGGAAACCUGGGCUAAUACCGCAUAACACCUACGGGUCAAAGGAGCAAUUCGCUUAAGGAGGGGGUCGCGGCAGAUUAGCUAGUUGGCGGGGUAAUGGCCCACCAAGGCGGUGAUCUGUAUCCGGCCUGAGAGGGCGCACGGACACACUGGAACUGAAACACGGUCCAGACUCCUACGGGAGGCAGCAGUGGGGAAUUUUGCGCAAUGGGGGAAACCCUGACGCAGCAACGCCGCGUGGAGGAUGAAGUCCCUUGGGACGUAAACUCCUUUCGAUCGGGACGAUUAUGACGGUACCGGAGGAAGAAGCCCCGGCUAACUUCGUGCCAGCAGCCGCGGUAAUACGAGGGGGGCAAGCGUUGUUCGGAAUUAUUGGGCGUAAAGGGUGCGUAGGCGGUUCGGUAAGUCUUAUGUGAAAUCUUCAGGCUCAACUUGAAGUCUGCAUGAGAAACUGCCGGGCUUGAGUGUGGGAGAGGUGAGUGGAAUUUCCGGUGUAGCGGUGAAAUGCGUAGAUAUCGGAAGGAACACCUGUGGCGAAAGCGGCUCACUGGACCAUAACUGACGCUGAUGCACGAAAGCUAGGGGAGCAAACAGGAUUAGAUACCCUGGUAGUCCUAGCCCUAAACGAUGAUCGCUUGGUGUGACGGGUACCCAAUCCCGCCGUGCCGAAGCUAACGCGUUAAGCGAUCCGCCUGGGGAGUACGGUCGCAAGGCUGAAACUCAAAGGAAUUGACGGGGCCCGCACAAGCGGUGGAGCAUGUGGUUUAAUUCGACGCAACGCGAGAACCUUACCUGGGCUCGAAAUGUACAGGAAUCCUGGUGGAAACAUCGGCGCCCGCAAGGGGCCUGUAUAUAGGUGCUGCAUGGCUGUCGUCAGCUCGU
RNAcentral lists this ribosomal RNA (973 nucleotides) under uncultured bacterium. Its description in RNAcentral is "bacterial SSU rRNA". It matches the Rfam family "Bacterial small subunit ribosomal RNA", at positions 58 to 1063 of the family's 1533-position model. The record is from RNAcentral.